Molecule: non-coding RNA, 71 nt
Organism: Candidatus Roizmanbacteria bacterium
Lineage: Bacteria; Candidatus Roizmaniibacteriota
Source: Rfam
UGCCCGGUAGUUCAACGGCAGAACCCACGGCUCUGAACCGUGUAAUCGGGGUUCGAAUCCCUGCUGGGCAG